CCUACGGGAGGCAGCAGUGGGGAAUAUUGCACAAUGGGGGAAACCCUGAUGCAGCGACGCCGCGUGAGUGAAGAAGUAAUUCGUUAUGUAAAGCUCUAUCAGCAGGGAAGAAAAUUACGGUUCCUGAGUAAGAAACCCCGGCUAACUACGUGCCAGCAGCCGCGGUAAUACGUAGGGGGCAAGCGUUAUCCGGAUUUACUGGGUGUAAAGGGAGCGUAGACGGCAGUGCAAGUCUGGAGUGAAAGGCGGGGGCUCAACCCCCGGACUGCUCUGGAAACUGUACGGCUGGAGUGCAGGAGAGGUAAGUGGAAUUCCUAGUGUAGCGGUGAAAUGCGGAGAUAUUAGGAGGAACACCAGUGGCGAAGGCGGCUUACUGGACUGUAACUGACGUUGAGGCUCGAAAGCGUGGGGAGCAAACAGGAUUAGAUACCCCAGUAGUC
RNAcentral lists this ribosomal RNA (440 nucleotides) under uncultured bacterium. Its description in RNAcentral is "partial 16S ribosomal RNA". It matches the Rfam family "Bacterial small subunit ribosomal RNA", at positions 338 to 795 of the family's 1533-position model. The record is from RNAcentral.